Drosophila subpulchrella is the source of this 439-nucleotide long non-coding RNA. RefSeq lists it as uncharacterized. The record is from RefSeq and is a predicted model, not a curated record. The transcript has 2 exons. NCBI's taxonomy places the organism in Eukaryota, Metazoa, Arthropoda, Insecta, Diptera, Drosophilidae.
AAGUAACUUAUGGAUUUUAAAUUGAAAAUAAAACAUUGUCAAGAAGUGUAAUUUCUAAUACACAUUACAAUUUUCCCCAUUUUCGGCUCUUCAAUUUUUUUGGACCAACAUGAAUAGAUUAGGCUCUAUUGUAUUUUCAAAAGCUACUACACGCUUGUGCUCAAAAAAAUGCGAUCCAUCCAAGGACAAAGCUUCCAAAAGUGAUAAACCCAAGGGCAAAAGGGACAAGAAAGAUCAGUGUGGAAGAAGUACAGAGCCCACUAAACCGAAAUGUGAUAAAAACUCUGGUGCUAAAACAACUACUUCUGGUGGUAAAUCAACGGAGCAAUGUGAGAAAGGCAAGAAAUGAAGCGGAAUCAACUAAAUUUAAUGUUAUAAAGUAAAGGGUCUCUCAAAGUAUAAAUAUAUAUUUGAAAUAUAAUAAACCUUGAAUAAUCAA